This is a long non-coding RNA of Petromyzon marinus (sea lamprey), 4365 nucleotides long. RefSeq lists it as uncharacterized. The record is from RefSeq and is a predicted model, not a curated record. NCBI's taxonomy places the organism in Eukaryota, Metazoa, Chordata, Hyperoartia, Petromyzontiformes, Petromyzontidae.
CCCACCCCCUCCCACCACCUUUUUCCCGCUCAGCUGCCCGCAAUCACUGCGAGUCGUCAAUCCGCCUGCUGCUGCACUCACUCGGCACCGCGUGCGCGUUACCGAUCAGCCGUGAGUGGCGGUGAGGAGGAGGAGGCUGACGGUGGUGCCACGCCAGUGAUGGUGAUGUGGUAACUGUUGCGAGUGUUGGCAAUGGCGAUUCGUGAUGGUGCUGUUUGCAUGGAAGCCCCGUCACAACUAAGCGGCGGUGACGACGGUGGUCCACGCGGGACUUGUUGACUGAAAUAGCGGCGGUGGUGGCGGCGGCGGCGGCAGGUGACUGACGAUGUCGAUGAUGACCGCGCGCCUCUUACACGGUGUUAUGAGUCACGGCACAUGCCACUCGUGCAUUUGUCGGAUCGCAGAGUCCGAAAAGUUCCACACGCCUGCGACAAUGGACCCCGUAGUGAGGAUCACAUAAAGGUGAAUAGCAGGCGAGGUGUCAAGGUCAAACCCCAAAUAUCCCCAAUAUCACCCUACGGCUUAUUCACAAGGGUCGGGUGGGGGGGCAUCAAUUGAGGCAGAGUGGAGGGCAGGGGCGUGAAAUGAAUAAAACAACGUGGGGCAGAGCCAAAUUCUUCUUGCCCUGGCACGAUAAUCCACUUGCGUCACAUUGUUUUGCACAACUUGCACAAUCACAACAAAGAUUUGGAUCGUUUGCAAACAUCAAAUUAGUCGAUUAGAAUUACAAACAGCAGCGAUCAUUGCCCAUACCUGGCAGACGAAUGCUCGCUUUCAGGCCAAGUUUCUGAGUCACCUGUGCCACAUAGGGACAGCUGUCACUGGGGGUGCCCUUUCAGAAGUGUUGAGAUGGGAUGCAAGUGGCUUGUCGCGUGUAAAAGCACUAUCAAGGUUCGUUCAGGAGUUAAGGUCGCCGUAUCUGACACAACUCUCUUCUACAUUGUUGUCAAUGUUAUGUCUUGUAUGCAUUUAACGUGAAACGGGCAUCUGGUCCUCAAGGGUGACCAGCCUGCCUGCCGGUCAACACGCAGCAGACGUCCGCGUCUCUCUCGCUCGUUCUCCCAGGGCCCCGACUCUCGCUCUUCAGUGCCCCCCACCCACGUCCGCGUGAGUGAGACCCAAAUCCCAGGCAGGGGCACCAAACAACAGCAGCAACACCGCCACUACUUCCCGCGCUCGGUGGCACGGAGGACACGCGGCCGGCACAAGUGACCUUGCCGAUGUGCGUGCGACACUCGCAACAUCCCGCGCGCAUCAACAGGGAGCAAGCAGCAGCUGCUGCUGCUCGUUGCUGUUCACUGCCACAGUGGCGGUGUCGUGGGCUGAUGGCACUGCACUCGCACUCCAAAGGUCGCCGGUUACAUCCCAGCCACCUCCCAAUCUCCUGGCGCGGCACUUGCAACAAUCCGGCGUCUGUCUCAAUGGAGAGACUCCUCCCCGCCAUAUUAAUGUGGAACUGCCAGGAGGAGUUGGGCACCAAUGACUGCUGCCUCGGUGCCCCUUUGGGCAGGAGGCCACCAUUGGCUGUGCGUGGGAUCAGAGCCUUUCGUGUGCGAUUGCUGAGCUCAGUCUGAACGAGCUCAAAAUCAGCGUCAGGAGGCAAUAAUUAAGAGUGCGUACAGUUGAUCAUCGAUCGAUUAUUAUCCGGCUGCUUCCAACAUUGUUUGGCGGUUCUGGGCCGAUCCGGCGAAAGCGGCAAAACCGCUUCAAAGGCUGUAACCAGUCCGACGAUCGGCCCCGUGUGCGUGACAAAAAUAUCUACGCUUGGUUUCAGUGUUAAAUAUUUUUACAGUACAUUAUGCACUACAUACGACAAUGUAAACAAUGAAAAUAAUGCACAUAUAUACAUUUUUCAUGACAAAUAGCUACAGUAAUACAAACAGAAAAUAUCCAGUGCGAUCCGGAGAAAAGUUCGCCGGAGCAGCGGUCUAAAGGCUGCACCAGUCCGGCGAUCAUCAACACAUCAUGAUGUUGUUGAAACAAGAGCGGAGUGCUACGUACAUCACCCCAUGAUGUAGUCUUCGAGACUGGAGUGGUAAGUACGGUACAAUAAAUACAGUUACUAUUUUGACAGGAGAAUAUUUACUUUUGUCUAAUUGUGUGUCUAUGCCAGUUUCACAUAGUAAACAAAUGUAAAACACUAAAAAUAUAUAUAAACAACGCCUAAAAACAGAACGUUAUUCAAGAAUGUGCAAAAAUGAUAUAUUUUAAAUAAUGACGUGUUUAUCCGGCGAAGCCUGCCGGAUAAUUGAUGAUCUGUGCAGUGAGUACAGGAGGGAAAGGGGCAGCCCUGUAACUGCUCGCUCACGCCACUGCAGGCAGAAGGGCCUUCGUCGACCCUCCUAGGUGUUACCGGACCGUUUUGGAAGAGGGCUCUCGUCGCCACCUUCACACCCACGUGGCGGGCCGGGCGAGAUGAGCUCACAGCGUGGCCUCACGUCCACGGCACACGCGGAGGAGGUGGAAGAGGUGGAGGAUAAGCUGGAGGAGGUGAUGGAGGAGGAGGUGGAGCAGGAGUGAGCGGUGUAGCCUGCACCAUGCCCGACCGGCUUUGAAUCCCCCAUGCUGAUGUUUAUACACUGCGCCGGAUAAUCAUUUAAGGCUGAGUCGACCUAAGGGAGGUCCAGUUCAGAUAUCACUUUCCAAUGAUGUAAGCUGGUAAAUAAACUCAAGCCACUGGGUUCGUAGUGCAGUGGACUAACCUCUGCGCCACCGCUCCCCCUGCGGCACUGCUUAUGUGUAAAAAUAAAAAUGGUUUCCUGCUUAAAUGAGCACUGAGGCAUUGAUAUUCAACUCCUGUUUGCAGGCCUGCUGAGCCAGUGGUGGAAAUUCCCCAUUCCCAAUGGUGUGGGCUAAGCAAAUUGACUUCUCCACAAAGCCGUGCUCAUUCUGUCUACCCUGAGCCAGGAUUCCCCUCCCCGCCCCCCCCCCCCCCGUGGAUCGUUCACCACCGAACAUCGAGGCGGCAGUGUGGACCGGGCCUGGCACAGGCACCGGUGGUGGAUCCAGCGGGGGGAGGGGUGGCAUUGAGGUGAUCACCCCCCAUCGCCCCCCCCCCGAUCUGUGCCUCUGAGUGGGGGCCCAGGGCGACUCUUGUGUUGUGUGUAGACGUGAGUGAGAGUGCGCCUGCAUAGCACGGCAGGAUGUAAUGCACCUGCCUUGUAUACUCAGUGUCGGGUUCCCUCUGUGGAAAUGAACAACCUUUGUGAUGCCGGGACAAGCAGCAGAAUACACUCAGUCACCCAGAGGAGACAGAGUCUCUGCUGAGUCACCCAGAGGAGAGAGUCUACAUUGAGUCACCCAGAGGAGAGAGUCUGCUGAGUCACUCAGAGGAGAGAGUCUCUGCUGAGUCACCCAGAGGAGAGAGUCUCUGCUGAGUCACCCAGAGGAGAGAGUCUCUGCUGAGUCACCCAGAGGAGAGAGUCUAUACUGAGUCAUCCAGAGGAGAGAGUCUAUACUGAGUCAUCCAGAGGAGAGAGUCUCUACUCAGUCACCCAGAGGAGACAGAGUCUCUGCUGAGUCACCCAGAGGAGAGAGUCUCUGCUGAGUCACCCAGAGGAGAGAGUCUGCUGAGUCAUCCAGAGGAGAGAGUCUACUGAGUCACCCAGAGGAGAGAGUCUCUUCUGAGUCACCCAGAGGAGAGAGUCUCUACUGAGUCACCCAGAGGAGAGAGUCUCUGCUGAGUCACCCAGAGGAGAGACUCUGCUGAGUCACCCAGAGGAGAGAGUCUACACUGAGUCACCCAGAGCAGAGAGUCUCUGCUGAGUCACCCAGAGGAGAGAGUCUACACUGAGUCACCCAGAGGAGAGAAUCUAUGCUGAGUCACCCAGAGGAGAGAGUCUCUACUGAGUCACCCAGAGGGGAGAGUCUCUGCUGAGUCACCCAGAGGAGAGAGUCUCUGCUGAGUCACCCAGAGGGGAGAGUCUACACUGAGUCACCCAGAGGAGAGAGUCUACACUGAGUCAUCCAGAGGAGAGAGUCUAUACUGAGUCACCCAGACCCCGCAAUUUUCAUAUUCGGGCUCUAUGACACAUUCUACCACUUUUGAUUCAUGACAUUGCCAACCCGGGGCGUCUUGACAAAAACAAUAGCACGCUGCAGGGUGCACAACAUUCUGUGGCACGUGGUCGUGACGGGUACUGCAAGAUCCCACCGUGUUCGUCCAGUGCUCGCUGAGCUGCAUCGGCUUCUGGUUGCCAAACGAAUACAUUGUAAGGUCGCACUCAAUACACUCAAAAAUACCUUGCUGAUCUCGUCAAAGAGCAUACAUCGUCAGGCGAACUGCGGUCAUCCUCGCAGCGGCUUUUGGAUAUCCAUCGAAGAAAGACGGCCACUGCAUCGCUUGCUUUCAGAUGCACUUCUGCG